UCACUGUCGCUACCGCAACAUCCCACCACCAAUUCAUCCAAUGACUACCUUAACCUCAUCAUAUCCAUCUCUCCCUCCACUUGAAUCCUUAUAUUUGUCUAAUUUAGUUUGAUGCAUCAUCCCCUUCACGAUCCUCUUCUACAUCAAAGUUUACAAACCCACGAUCAUUGUAAACGACAACCACCACCGAUUACUACCUAGUGAGCCCCCUUUUCCUCUUCUGAUCGGAGACGUCUUCACUACCGCCGUUAGCCAGGAAACCACUAAUAUAUCUCCGCCAAAUCAUCUGCUCAUAACUGGAUUUUGCAAUCGAAGUUAGUGUUUAGAUCUUGGUACAAUCAGUUUCAAUUAAUUCCUUCGUUUCAUUCAUUUGAUCACAAUCGAUUUUAGGCUGUGGUGACCAGGACGAAUUGAAAGCUGAUCGCUGACCUUCAAAUACCUUUAUACGGUCUAAAAUAUUUCUUUUGGCUAUGUAACGACAAUGGGAUGAAGCAUAGGUACAAUCCAAAUUGAUGUGGAAGAUUGUAUAAAAAAAGCUACAUUCGAUAUACUUCUAUUAUUUAAUCCAAUUGUUAAACUUAUUCAAUAGAGGACUCUAUUUUGUC
Molecule: long non-coding RNA, 605 nt
Organism: Lactuca sativa (garden lettuce)
Lineage: Eukaryota; Viridiplantae; Streptophyta; Magnoliopsida; Asterales; Asteraceae
Source: RefSeq, a predicted model, not a curated record